This 380-nucleotide transfer-messenger RNA is filed under the name Heterorhizobium halophytocola. RNAcentral's name for it is "Rhizobium halophytocola transfer-messenger RNA". It matches the Rfam family "Alphaproteobacteria transfer-messenger RNA". From Rfam's summary of the family: Bacterial tmRNA, also known as 10Sa RNA or SsrA, is named for its dual tRNA and mRNA-like properties. The record is from RNAcentral. Lineage: Bacteria; Pseudomonadati; Pseudomonadota; Alphaproteobacteria; Hyphomicrobiales; Rhizobiaceae.
CCCCUUUUCAUUCGCGUGCGAAAUGCCUAUAUCAGCCGUGCCGGGGCUUGCUCCGGCUAUGGCAAUAAACGGCCGAUGUAAUAAACCUAUUGGACCCGGGGGCGGUACCCGGCGCCUCCACCAAAAACCGGUCUUCGACGACCGGCUCGGCCUGACCGGCUUUUGAUGGGGGCGAAAUAGGAUCGACAAGGGCGUAAAGAUCGAACUUUUGCUCGGCAUGAUACCACCGUUAUCGGGUCAAACAGAGUAGUUGCAAACGACAACAACGCUCAGGGUUACGCUGUAGCUGCCUAAUGGCGGUUCCAGAAACCCGACUUAAGUCCUUGCGGGUAGCACCGUAAGGCGGGGUCCGGAGGCACCUGGCAACAGAAGCCUCCACC